Molecule: ribosomal RNA, 434 nt
Filed under: uncultured bacterium
Lineage: Bacteria
Description: partial 16S ribosomal RNA
Rfam family: Bacterial small subunit ribosomal RNA
Source: RNAcentral
AGCGAACGCUGGCGGCAGGCCUAACACAUGCAAGUCGAGCGAACCUCUCGGGGUUCGUGGCGGGCGUGAGAGACGCCUGGGAGAACGUGCCUUUGUGCUCGGCAUCUCUCAGGGAAUCUUGUGCUAAUACCGAAUGUGCCCACCGGGGGAAAGUUUUAUCCGCUGUAUCGGGGCCCGCGUCUUUAUAGCUUGUUGGUUGAGGUAAUGGCUCACCAAGGCGACGAUCAGUAGCUGGUAUGAGAGGAUGAUCAGCCACAUUGGGACUGAGACACGGCCCAAACUCCUACGGGAGGCAGCAGUGGGGAAUCUUGCGCAAUGGGCGGAAGCCUGACGCAGCCAUGCCGCGUGAAUGAUGAAGGUCUUAGGGUUGUAAAAUUCUUUUGUCCGGGACGAUAAUGACGGUACCCGGAGAAUAAGCCCCGGCUAACUUCGUG